Molecule: ribosomal RNA, 482 nt
Filed under: uncultured bacterium
Lineage: Bacteria
Description: partial 16S ribosomal RNA
Rfam family: Bacterial small subunit ribosomal RNA
Source: RNAcentral
AUUGAACGCUGGCGGCAUGCUUUACACAUGCAAGUCGAACGGUAACAGGCCGCAAGGUGCUGACGAGCGGCGAACGGGUGAGUAAUGCAUCGGAACGUGCCCAGUCGUGGGGGAUAACUACUCGAAAGAGUAGCUAAUACCGCAUACGAUCUAUGGAUGAAAGUGGGGGACCGUAAGGCCUCGCGCGAUUGGAGCGGCCGAUGUCAGAUUAGGUAGUUGGUGGGGUAAAGGCUCACCAAGCCAACGAUCUGUAGCUGGUCUGAGAGGACGACCAGCCACACUGGGACUGAGACACGGCCCAGACUCCUACGGGAGGCAGCAGUGGGGAAUUUUGGACAAUGGGCGCAAGCCUGAUCCAGCAAUGCCGCGUGCAGGAAGAAGGCCUUCGGGUUGUAAACUGCUUUUGUACGGAACGAAACGGCUCUGGUUAAUACCCGGGGCUAAUGACGGUACCGUAAGAAUAAGCACCGGCUAACUACGUG